CAGCCGCCGCGGGAAAACGUAGGUGGCAAGCGUUGUCCGGAAUUAUUGGGCGUAAAGGGCUCGCAGGCGGUUUCUUAAGUCUGAUGUGAAAGCCCCGGGCUCAACCGGGGAGGGUCAUUGGAAACUGGGAAACUUGAGUGCAGAAGAGGAGAGUGGAAUUCCACGUGUAGCGGUGAAAUGCGUAGAGAUGUGGAGGAACACCAGUGGCGAAGGCGACUCUCUGGUCUGUAACUGACGCUGAGGAGCGAAAGCGUGGGGAGCGAACAGGAUUAGAUACCCCCGUAGUCCCUGUCUCUUAUAA
This 301-nucleotide ribosomal RNA is filed under the name uncultured bacterium. RNAcentral describes it as "partial 16S ribosomal RNA". It matches the Rfam family "Bacterial small subunit ribosomal RNA", at positions 509 to 809 of the family's 1533-position model. The record is from RNAcentral.